RNAcentral lists this ribosomal RNA (588 nucleotides) under uncultured archaeon. RNAcentral describes it as "bacterial SSU rRNA". It matches the Rfam family "Archaeal small subunit ribosomal RNA", at positions 61 to 627 of the family's 1478-position model. The record is from RNAcentral.
AGCGUUUCUAGCUAUGUUGAAACGCGGCAGACGGCUCAGUAACACGUGGCUAACCUACCCUCAUGAUGAGAACACCCCCGGGAAACUGGGGCUAAUACUCAAUAAGUGAGGAUGUCUGGAAUGAUUUCUCACUCAAAAGGCUUUGGAUACAUGCUUCCAUUGUCGCCUGGGGAUGGGGCCGCGUCCGAUCAGGUUGUUGGUGAGGUAACGGCUCACCAAGCCUAUAACCGGUACGGGCCGUGAGAGCGGUAGCCCGGAGAUGGGUACUGAGACAAGGACCCAGGCCCUACGGGGCGCAGCAGUCGCGAAAACUCCGCAAUGCACGAAAGUGUGACGGGGCUACCCCGAGUGCCAUCCGCUGAGGAUGGCUUUUCUUUGGUAUAACAAGCCAUUGGAAUAAGGAGAGGGCAAGACUGGUGUCAGCCGCCGCGGUAAUACCAGCUCUCCGAGUGGUAGGGAUGAUUAUUGGGCUUAAAGCGUCCGUAGCCGGCUUAGCAAGUCUCCUGUAUAACUCAGCGACCUAAUCGUUGAAUCGCGGGAGAUACUACUAGGCUACGAGGCGGGAGACGUCGACUGUACUUCUGGGGU